CCAGUGCCUCAGUGGCAGCAGAACUGGCCCUGUAUCAGGCCGCUACCGCCACUCCAUGACCAACCUCCCUGCAUACCCCGCCCCCCAGCACCCCCCCCACAGGACCGCUUCUGUGUUUGGGACCCACCAGGCCUUUGCACCAUACAACAAACCCUCACUCUCCGGGGCCCGGUCUGCGCCCAGGCUGAACACCACGAACGCCUGGGACGCAGCUCCUCCUUCCCUGGGGAGCCAGCCCCUCUACCGCUCCAGCCUCUCCCACCUGGGACCGCAGCACCUGCCCCCAGGAUCCUCCACCUCCGGUGCAGUCAGUGCCUCCCUCCCCAGCGGUCCCUCAAGCAGCCCAGGGAGCGUCCCUGCCACUGUGCCCAUGCAGAUGCCAAAGCCCAGCAGAGUCCAGCAGGCGCUCGCAGGAGCGACCCCGAAGCCAGAGCCAGAGCCAGAGCAGGUCAUAAAAAACUACACGGAAGAGCUGAAAGUGCCCCCAGAUGAGGACUGCAUCAUCUGCAUGGAGAAGCUGUCCGCAGCGUCUGGAUACAGCGAUGUGACUGACAGCAAGGCAAUCGGGCCCCUGGCUGUGGGCUGCCUCACCAAGUGCAGCCACGCCUUCCACCUGCUGUGCCUCCUGGCCAUGUACUGCAACGGCAAUAAGGGCCCUGAGCACCCCAAUCCCGGAAAGCCGUUCACUGCCAGAGGGUUUCCCCGCCAGUGCUACCUUCCAGACAACGCCCAGGGCCGCAAGCCUCCAGGGGCUUCCAGAACCCGGAGACACUGGCUGACAUUCCGGCCUCCCCACAGCUGCUGACCGAUGGCCACUACAUGACGCUGCCCGUGUCUCCGGACCAGCUGCCCUGUGACGACCCCAUGGCGGGCAGCGGAGGCGCCCCCGUGCUGCGGGUGGGCCAUGACCACGGCUGCCACCAGCAGCCCUUCUGCAACGCGCCCCUCCCUGGCCCUGGACCCUAUCGUACAGAACCUGCUAAGGCCAUCAAACCUAUUGAUCGGAAGUCAGUCCAUCAGAUUUGCUCUGGGCCAGUGGUACUGAGUCUAAGCACUGCAGUGAAGGAGUUAGUAGAAAACAGUCUGGAUGCUGGUGCCACUAAUAUUGAUCUAAAGCUUAAGGACUAUGGAAUGGAUCUCAUUGAAGUUUCAGGCAAUGGAUGUGGGGUAGAAGAAGAAAACUUCGAAGGCUUAAUGAUGUCACCAUUUCUACCUGCCACGUAUCGGCGAAGGUUGGGACUCGACUGGUGUUUGAUCACGAUGGGAAAAUCAUCCAGAAAACCCCCUACCCCCACCCCAGAGGGACCACAGUCAGCGUGAAGCAGUUAUUUUCUACGCUACCUGUGCGCCAUAAGGAAUUUCAAAGGAAUAUUAAGAAGAAACGUGCCUGCUUCCCCUUCGCCUUCUGCCGUGAUUGUCAGCUUCUUGAGGGCUCCCCAGCCAUGCUUCCUGUACAGCCUGCAAAACUGACUCCUAGAAGUACCCCACCCCACCCCUGCUCCUUGGAGGACAACGUGAUCACUGUAUUCAGCUCCAUCAAGAAUGGUCCAGGUUCUUCUAGAUGAUCUGCACAAAUGGUUCCUCUCCUCCUUCCUGAUGUCUGCCAUUAGCAUUGGAAUAAAGUUCCUGCUGAAAA
This is a long non-coding RNA of Homo sapiens (human), 1636 nucleotides long. Ensembl annotates it as DTX2P1-UPK3BP1-PMS2P11 readthrough, transcribed pseudogene. Its record names the gene DTX2P1-UPK3BP1-PMS2P11. The record is from Ensembl. NCBI's taxonomy places the organism in Eukaryota, Metazoa, Chordata, Mammalia, Primates, Hominidae.